RNAcentral lists this non-coding RNA (207 nucleotides) under Clostridium sp. Its description in RNAcentral is "T-box sequence". It matches the Rfam family "T-box leader". Rfam says of the family: Uncharged tRNA acts as the effector for transcription antitermination of genes in the T-box leader family. T-boxes are found upstream of many aminoacyl-tRNA synthetase genes and some amino acid biosynthetic genes usually in Gram-positive bacteria. The record is from RNAcentral. Lineage: Bacteria; Bacillati; Bacillota; Clostridia; Eubacteriales; Clostridiaceae.
UUAAAGGCAAUGAAGGAAAGAAAAAGGUAAAACUAUUAAUAAGAGAGCGCAUAAAUGGUGAAAGUGCGUAAUAGAUAAUAACUAUAUAAAUGGUUCUGGAGCUUUUUAACUGAAUAAUUAGGUUGAAACGGUAGCUACGUUAUAGCACAAGAGCAUAUAUAUUUAUAUAUGAAUUAAGGUGGUACCGCGGUUAUAAUCGUCCUUUAA